AUGCCUUCUGGCAGGGGAGACACCCUGAUCAAGAAAGUUUUCCCAGAGUGAGGCUUCUGCAUUGCGUUGAGGAUUAGCUGACCUCUGCAACUCCCCCCACAGCAUAAUUUGUUGUAGUGGAGGACUGUUGAUGCUCCCCUGUU
Molecule: small nuclear RNA, 143 nt
Filed under: Meriones unguiculatus (Mongolian gerbil)
Lineage: Eukaryota; Metazoa; Chordata; Mammalia; Rodentia; Muridae
Description: U1 spliceosomal RNA (ENSMUGG00000009505.1)
Rfam family: U1 spliceosomal RNA
About the family: U1 is a small nuclear RNA (snRNA) component of the spliceosome (involved in pre-mRNA splicing). Its 5' end forms complementary base pairs with the 5' splice junction, thus defining the 5' donor site of an intron. There are significant differences in sequence and secondary structure between metazoan and yeast U1 snRNAs, the latter being much longer (568 nucleotides as compared to 164 nucleotides in human).
Source: RNAcentral